GAUGAACGCUGGCGGCGUGCCUAAUACAUGCAAGUCGAGCGAACGGACGAGAAGCUUGCUUCUCUGAUGUUAGCGGCGGACGGGUGAGUAACACGUGGAUAACCUACCUAUAAGACUGGGAUAACUUCAGGAAACCGGAGCUAAUACCGGAUAAUAUUUUGAACCGCAUGGUUCAAAAGUGAAAGACGGUCUUGCUGUCACUUAUAGAUGGAUCCGCGCUUCAUUAGCUAGUUGGUAAGGUAACGGCUUACCAAGGCAACGAUGCAUAGCCGACCUGAGAGGGUGAUCGGCCACACUGGAACUGAGACACGGUCCAGACUCCUACGGGAGGCAGCAGUAGGGAAUCUUCCGCGAUGGGCGAAAGCCUGACGGAGCAACGCCGCGUGAGUGAUGAAGGUCUUCGGAUCGUAAAACUCUGUUAUUAGGGAAGAACAUAUGUGUAAGUAACUGUGCACAUCUUGACGGUACCUAAUCAGAAAGCCACGGCUAACUACGUG
Molecule: ribosomal RNA, 497 nt
Filed under: uncultured bacterium
Lineage: Bacteria
Description: partial 16S ribosomal RNA
Rfam family: Bacterial small subunit ribosomal RNA
Source: RNAcentral